UACGUAGGUGGCAAGCGUUGUCCGGAAUUAUUGGGCGUAAAGCGCGCGCAGGCGGUUAUGUAAGAUUGAUGUUAAAGCCCAAGGCUCAACCUCGGUUCGCAUUGGAAACUGUGUAACUUGAGUGCAGAAUAGGAAAGUGGUAUUCCACGUGUAGCGGUGAAAUGCGUAGAGAUGUGGAGGAACACCAGUGGCGAACGCGACUUUCUGGUCUGUAACUGACGCUUAGGCUCGAAAUCGUGUGGAGCAAACAGG
RNAcentral lists this ribosomal RNA (252 nucleotides) under uncultured bacterium. Its description in RNAcentral is "partial 16S ribosomal RNA". It matches the Rfam family "Bacterial small subunit ribosomal RNA", at positions 524 to 776 of the family's 1533-position model. The record is from RNAcentral.